AACGUAGGAGGCAAGCGUUAUCCGGAGUUACUGGGCGUAAAGCGCGCGCAGGCGGUUGGAUAAGUGGAUUGUCAAAGGACCAGGCUAAACCUGGGGGAGGCAGUUCAGACUGUCGAGCUAGAGCCAUCUAGAGGGACGCGGAAUUCGGGGUGUAGCGGUGAAAUGUGUAGAGAUCCCGAGGAACACCAGCGGUGAAGACGGCGUCCUGGGGGUGAGCUGACGCUGAGGCGCGAAGGCGUGGGGAGCGAACAGG
RNAcentral lists this ribosomal RNA (253 nucleotides) under uncultured bacterium. Its description in RNAcentral is "partial 16S ribosomal RNA". It matches the Rfam family "Bacterial small subunit ribosomal RNA", at positions 524 to 776 of the family's 1533-position model. The record is from RNAcentral.